Molecule: ribosomal RNA, 253 nt
Filed under: uncultured bacterium
Lineage: Bacteria
Description: partial 16S ribosomal RNA
Rfam family: Bacterial small subunit ribosomal RNA
Source: RNAcentral
UACGUAGGGUGCAAGCGUUGUCCGGAAUUAUUGGGCGUAAAGAGCUCGUAGGCGGUCUGUCGCGUCUGCUGUGAAAACUCGGGGCUUAACCCCGGGCCUGCAGUGGGUACGGGCAGACUAGAGUCCGGUAGGGGAUCACGGAAUUCCUGGUGUAGCGGUGAAAUGCGCAGAUAUCAGGAGGAACACCGAUGGCGAAGGCAGUGAUCUGGGCCGGUACUGACGCUGAGGAGCGAAAGCGUGGGUAGCAAACAGG